AAAAAAAAAAAAGCUAAGUCAACUGAGGGGCAAAAAUGUCAUUUUGCCCCUCCAACCCAAAUAGGGGUCCAAGGAAAACCCAGCCAGAUUGCCUGCAAAAGAAAGAAGAAGUUAGAGAGAAGUUAGUGAGGAGUCGACCGGGAAGAUUAACGGACCGCCGCCGGAAUCCAUCUCCAAACGAGACUAGUACCAGGAUUGAGAGGCUAGCAAGGCCGACGCUCCAUCAAAACCUAAGAACAUUUCGCGAGGAACAACUCACGCACGGUCUGUGAAGAAGUUUGGCCGAGACCUCAACCCAAAGGCGGAGAUCCGAGAGUCAUCCGAGAACGGGACUUAAUUU
Long non-coding RNA from Cucurbita moschata (crookneck pumpkin), 340 nucleotides. RefSeq lists it as uncharacterized. The record is from RefSeq and is a predicted model, not a curated record. The transcript is spliced from 3 exons. Lineage: Eukaryota; Viridiplantae; Streptophyta; Magnoliopsida; Cucurbitales; Cucurbitaceae.